Molecule: ribosomal RNA, 1882 nt
Filed under: Triticum aestivum (bread wheat)
Lineage: Eukaryota; Viridiplantae; Streptophyta; Magnoliopsida; Poales; Poaceae
Description: partial small subunit ribosomal RNA
Source: RNAcentral
UUUUAUGUUCGCGGUUCUCGGAGCGCGAGGGCUCCGGGUUUUAGGUCUAUAAAAGGUUCGGGGGGAAGGAGUGCGUGUGUGUAGCAGAUGGAGUGCGUGUGUGUAUGGAUUGAUUUUAGGGGUGGAUCGGUGGCGGUGGCGGUGGAGGCACGCGAGCCGGCUAUGCCAGCGCGGCGACGGGGAGGGUGGGGGCCACAACUUAAGUCUUCGAGGACAGUUUAGACGACACGGAGGGGUGGUAGGCGUCGAACUCCACGGCGACCCGAUAGACGAGUGGACCGCCCGCAGCGCGGGCGACCAAGCGGGAGCAGCGGCGGAGAGGGUCGAGGCCGGUAAAGAAGUCAUUGAAUGUAGGUCGUCGGGUACCAUAGCUGGAGUUGGUGGCCGCUGGGGGCAGAACGGGGCGGAGAUUCAGGUCGUCGACGUCGAAUGUCCAACUCCUUGAACAGAUGCUGGGCGUCUCUCUUCUGUAUAAACAGUUUCUUGUAUGUACAUUUUGACCUCAAAGAGGGUGUGAUUCGUCUCCGGGAUUAAUUUGUUGAACUACGUCGUUGACCGUAAAGGAGUUCGUUCGCUUUUACACCUUUGUGGGAGUCUCUAACAUCGUGUUUCUACCGCUGCUCCUUGAAGAUUAAAUCUACUGAAAAGCAUACACUAUAAUCCAUCAUAUCGUAGACCCUCCUAGUUAGCGAACCCAGACCUCCUAGUCAAUUCGUGUACUUUUUCCUCUGCUGUUUACCCCUACAUAAUAGAGAAGAGUAAAAAACAGAAUUAAGAUAUAAUGUAUCGUAUAAAAAAUAAAAUAAUAUAUAUAUGAACAGCAUAGGGGAUUAACGACAAAACCUUUUACAACAUAGGGUACAGGGGAUUACACAUAGCGGUACAGAGGUAGGGGCAUACGUACGAAGAAUCGAAUAUAGAACACACGACGACAAGAGAUACGCUCACAAAAAGUACGUAAAAACAAGUUUAAUUAUUCGGCGUUAUGUUUACUAGUAUUCAAAGUGACAAAAAUUCAGCGCGCUGAUCAGUAGCUAGCGUGCCGGUCCAAACUGAGAUUGGGGAGUUGAUCAGCUCUGAUUAGCUAGCCGGUACGAGCUGGAGCGUUGGGCCCUUGCUGAGUAGCAGAGCUUUUGGAACUAUUCAGACGUAAAGGAUGAUCGAUAUGACUUCGAACGAUAGAUAAACUCUAGUCGGUGUUAUUUUUAACUGGUUAUAAAAAGUCCCAUCGUAUAAAUAAGUCAUGGUGUUUAACCCUAAUGUGAACCGAGAAAUAAAAUCUCUUUGUAUCCACUACAUCGUAGUAUGCAAGUCCAAGUCUAAAAAUUGGUAUCGUCUAACAUUAUAUACGUUUGGGGAUAACAUAUGAUGUGUAAAAAACACCGUACGUACUUGGCGUUGUAUUAGGGUCAGACAGGAUGUUCACGUAUAUACUAACAAACAAUAAAGAUCUUGACGACGGUUAGACAACGCAUAGAAGAUAAAGAAAGUAACUAGAAAACUGAGUUCCCGCUGAGUGUUAAAACUUAUUUAAGAUGAUAAAGAUUCUAACGACUUUGUAUAGUGAAGAAAAAAGUCACUGUUCUUUAUCUGUCAUCGUUCAGGGGUCCAACUGGCUUAUUACAGGAGUACCACGACCGAACCACUGACUUCUAAACCAGAAAAACUAUUAUAAUAUAUCACCAGCUCACCAGUUUGUGAACGGAGAAUCUUUGUAACCGGUAGUAUAAAACAUUAUCCGGUGCUGAACAUACUACUAUGUACAUAGAGGAACUACCAACAUCAAUUGAACUCACUUCUUUUGAACACUUAGAAGAUAUAUACAACUUACUUAUCUUCUCAGGUUAACGAACACAUACAUAACGUAUUUAUACUUAACUUA